AGAAUCAACGCUGGCGGCGUGCCUAACACAUGCAAGUCGCACGAGAAAGGGACUUCGGUCCUGAGUACAGUGGCGCACGGGUGAGUAACACGUGAAUAAUCUACCUCCGAGUGGGGAAUAACUGAGAGAAAUCUUAGCUAAUACCGCAUAACACUUACGAGUCAAAGCAGCAAUGCGCUUGGAGAGGAGUUCGCGGCCGAUUAGCUAGUUGGCGGGUAAUGGCCCACCAAGGCGAUGAU
Molecule: ribosomal RNA, 239 nt
Filed under: uncultured bacterium
Lineage: Bacteria
Description: partial small subunit ribosomal RNA
Rfam family: Bacterial small subunit ribosomal RNA
Source: RNAcentral